RNAcentral lists this long non-coding RNA (204 nucleotides) under Elaeis guineensis (African oil palm). RNAcentral's name for it is "long non-coding RNA (EGUI_LNC001453)". The record is from RNAcentral. Lineage: Eukaryota; Viridiplantae; Streptophyta; Magnoliopsida; Arecales; Arecaceae.
UGUCUCCAAAUCUCCCUUCAUAUAGAUGAACGCCCAUGUGGAACAUUAACUACUUGCCCAUCCGCCGACACUCCAUAUUUGUCUCGGACGAUUGAACACCACAAAUUGUUUGAUUCCAACCUUGCUGAAAGUAUUGCGAUCAGAGCAUUGUGCAAUACCAGUUGAGUCUCCCUUCAUCCAAGGCUGACAUAAGGCAUCCCAGCC